Molecule: long non-coding RNA, 451 nt
Filed under: Nicotiana benthamiana
Lineage: Eukaryota; Viridiplantae; Streptophyta; Magnoliopsida; Solanales; Solanaceae
Description: long non-coding RNA (NBEN_LNC029641)
Source: RNAcentral
CCAGUAUAGUACCACCAACAGUAACAAUAUAUAACAAGAGCAAAUGGAAAAUGAUGCAGCUUUAAAGCUCCACGAAUACCUAAGGAAAUCCCUGGGAGGUUAGAGGUAUUUCUACUGCCGCAGUUAAUUACACUAGAACAAAUUACAACAGAGAAGCACCAUGUAUCACUCAAAAUAUUUUGAGUUAAGACUCUUAUCUUUAGAAAAUGAAGGGCACAAUCCAAUUUCUCACAGACAAGAGCUAUGUCAGAAUAUGGAUUCCAGGUUUGUUGUUUAUGUAACAUUGUGUAGUCCCAUGAAUGAUUUCCAUUAUGUUUCUUCUUUUUCAUUCCAGCUGCAGCAGUCCACGUAGAAUCAUAAAUUCUUGGAGGAUACAACUUGAGAGUUUCCACAAUAACGUCGCGCUCCUUAACAUUGGACCAAAUAGCAGAGAUGGUGUAUGUUGCACUGC